RNAcentral lists this unclassified non-coding RNA (324 nucleotides) under soil metagenome. Its description in RNAcentral is "partial contains 5.8S ribosomal RNA, internal transcribed spacer 2, and large subunit ribosomal RNA". The stretch from base 1 to 120 matches the Rfam family "5.8S ribosomal RNA", at positions 35 to 154 of the family's 154-position model. The record is from RNAcentral.
GAUGAAGAACGUAGUGAAAUGCGAUACGUAGUGUGAAUUGCAGAAUUCAGUGAAUCAUCGAAUCUUUGAACGCACAUUGCACCUCUCGGUAUUCCGGGAGGUAUGCCUGUUCGAGCGUCAUUUGUACCCUCAAGCUUUGCUUGGUGUUGGGUGUUUGUCCCUCGGGACUCGCCUUAAAGUCAUUGGCAGCCAGUGUUUUGGUUUUGAAGCGCAGCACAAGUCGCGAUUCAAGGCUAUCCGCCCGCUUCCACAAGCCUUUUUCACUUUUGACCUCGGAUCAGGUAGGGAUACCCGCUGAACUUAAGCAUAUCAAUAAGCGGAGGA